GAUGAACGCUGGCGGCGUGCUUAACACAUGCAAGUCGAACGAUGAAGCCCAGCUUGCUGGGUGGAUUAGUGGCGAACGGGUGAGUAACACGUGAGUAACCUGCCCUUGACUCUGGGAUAAGCCUGGGAAACUGGGUCUAAUACUGGAUAUGACUUCUCAUCGCAUGGUGGGGGGUGGAAUGAUUUAUUGGUCUUGGAUGGACUCGCGGCCUAUCAGCUUGUUGGUGAGGUAAUGGCCCACCAAGGCGACGACGGGUAGCCGGCCUGAGAGGGUGACCGGCCACACUGGGACUGAGACACGGCCCAGACUCCUACGGGAGGCAGCAGUGGGGAAUAUUGCACAAUGGGCGCAAGCCUGAUGCAGCGACGCCGCGUGAGGGAUGACGGCCUUCGGGUUGUAAACCUCUUUCAGUAGGGAAGAAGCGAGAGUGACGGUACCUGCAGAAGAAGCGCCGGCUAACUACGUG
RNAcentral lists this ribosomal RNA (466 nucleotides) under uncultured bacterium. RNAcentral's name for it is "partial 16S ribosomal RNA". It matches the Rfam family "Bacterial small subunit ribosomal RNA", at positions 28 to 507 of the family's 1533-position model. The record is from RNAcentral.